Molecule: ribosomal RNA, 253 nt
Filed under: uncultured bacterium
Lineage: Bacteria
Description: partial 16S ribosomal RNA
Rfam family: Bacterial small subunit ribosomal RNA
Source: RNAcentral
UACGAAGGGGGCUAGCGUUGCUCGGAAUUACUGGGCGUAAAGCGCACGUAGGCGGCUCUUUAAGUCGGAGGUGAAAUCCUGGAGCUCAACUCCAGAACUGCCUUCGAUACUGAAGAGCUCGAGUCCGGGAGAGGUGAGUGGAAUUCCUGGUGUAGCGGUGAAAUGCGUAGAUAUGCGGAGGAACACCGAUGGCGAAGGCAAUCCCCUGGGCCUGCACUGACGCUCAUGCACGAAAGCGUGGGGAGCAAACAGG